This 200-nucleotide ribosomal RNA is filed under the name uncultured bacterium. RNAcentral describes it as "partial 16S rRNA". The record is from RNAcentral.
GAUAGGCCGGCGGCAUACAUAUGCAUGUCAGUCGAACGGUAACAGGAACUUGCUUGUUUGUUGACUAACGACUGACGGAUGAGUGAUGUCUGGCUGGCUGCCUGAUGGAUGGAGAGGGAUACCGACUGCAAACGGUAAUAACUACUAACUAACGACGAACGACCAAGGAGGCCUACCUUCCUGUCGCUUGCCAAUGUAUG